CAAAAAAGACAGUCNCAGUUCGGAUUGAAGGCUGAAAUUCGCCUUCAUGAAGCCGGAAUUGCUAGUAAUGGCAGGUCAGCAUACUGCCGUGAAUACGUUCCCGGGCCUUGUACACACCGCCCGUCACACCAUGAGAGUUGGGAAUACCCGAAGCCUGUGAGCUAACUUUUAGAGGCAGCAGUCGAAGGUAGAAUCAAUGAUUGGGGUGAAGUCGUAACAAGGUACC
This 226-nucleotide ribosomal RNA is filed under the name uncultured bacterium. Its description in RNAcentral is "partial 16S ribosomal RNA". It matches the Rfam family "Bacterial small subunit ribosomal RNA", at positions 1274 to 1500 of the family's 1533-position model. The record is from RNAcentral.